UAGAAAAUAUCCUCUUAUAGUAUUUCUCUAGUAGGUUUCCUUAAGGAGAAAGCCUCC
RNAcentral lists this small nuclear RNA (57 nucleotides) under Oncorhynchus mykiss (rainbow trout). Its description in RNAcentral is "U7 small nuclear RNA (ENSOMYG00000040311.2)". It matches the Rfam family "U7 small nuclear RNA". From Rfam's summary of the family: Animal histone pre-mRNAs are spliced by a different mechanism than nuclear pre-mRNAs and self-splicing introns. This processing involves the U7 snRNP, which contains only one RNA species: U7. Lineage: Eukaryota; Metazoa; Chordata; Actinopteri; Salmoniformes; Salmonidae. The record is from RNAcentral.